This 253-nucleotide ribosomal RNA is filed under the name uncultured bacterium. RNAcentral's name for it is "partial 16S ribosomal RNA". It matches the Rfam family "Bacterial small subunit ribosomal RNA", at positions 524 to 776 of the family's 1533-position model. The record is from RNAcentral.
UACGGGGGGGGCAAGCGUUGUUCGGAAUUACUGGGCGUAAAGGGCGUGUAGGCGGCCAACUAAGUCCGACGUGAAAUCCCCAGGCUUAACCUGGGAACUGCGUCGGAUACUGGAUGGCUUGAAUCCGGGAGAGGGAUGCAGAAUUCCAGGUGUAGCGGUGAAAUGCGUAGAUAUCGUGAGGAAGACCAGUGGCGAAGGCGGGUCUCUGGACAGUUCCUGACACUGAGGCACGAAGGCCAGGGGAGCAAACGGG